AGCGAACGCUGGCGGCAGGCUUAACACAUGCAAGUCGAGCGCCCCGCACGGGGAUCGGCGGACGGGAGAGUAUCACGUGGGGACAUACCUUUUGGUUCGGAACAACUGAGGGAGACUUCAGCUAAUACCGGAUAAGCCCUUACGGGGAAAGAUUUAUCGCCGAAGGAUUGGCCCGCGUCUGAUUAGCUAGUUGGUGGGGUAACGGCUCACCAAGGCGACGAUCAGUAGCUGGUCUGAGAGGAUGAUCAGCCUCACUGGGACUGAGACACGGCCCAGACUCCUACGGGAGGCAGCAGUGGGGAAUAUUGGACAAUGGGGGAAACCCUGAUCCAGCCAUGCCGCGUGAGUGAUGAAGGCCUUAGGGUUGUAAAGCUCUUUUGCCCGGGAAGAUAAUGACGGUACCGGGAGAAUAAGCCCCGGCUAACUUCGUG
RNAcentral lists this ribosomal RNA (431 nucleotides) under uncultured bacterium. RNAcentral describes it as "partial 16S ribosomal RNA". It matches the Rfam family "Bacterial small subunit ribosomal RNA", at positions 29 to 507 of the family's 1533-position model. The record is from RNAcentral.